GUCCUGCUGAUUGACCUUGUGUAACUACAUUAGCGCACUGCGUGGGUAGUUAAUGGUACCUUUGGGGUUCUUGGCCUGUUUGGAACGGGCAGCUGCCAGAUCGAAGUGCGCCUUGUCCGAGUUCUCACAGAGCAGGAUGAUCCGACACAAACAGUCGGCAGCGAAGACUCGAGUGACCCACCGCGGCGCAACUGACGGCUUCGACUUGUCAUCGUCACCAAGGCUCGUGAACAUCGUGUCAUCGUCGAUUUCAUCUUUCUUCUCAGAGUCCUCCUCGUCCCUCUCAACCUCAAAAGCAACCGCACCACCGACAUCUGAAAACAGAAAAUUGUUUGUGUCAUCUAUAAAAAUCUAAUCCAACAUUACAUCUUAAUGCUAUAUAUUUUCUCUGCGUAGGAUAACGUGGUGCUGUCAGUGUACGUUAUCUUUACCUCUAGUUGCUGCGAGGACAUCCUUACAAAGUUUUAGCCAAUGAGAGAGCUUUUCCACGGCCAGCGACGACAGCAUGUGGCCCAGCGUGUCAUGGAUAUCCGAGCACAGUUUUCUGUCCGUUUCUCUGUCGAGCAUCCCGAACAGAACUCCCUCCAGACCUGUCUCUGUGAUGUUCAGGUCUAUUUUGGAGACAAAGCAGGCAUAAUUUUACCAACACAAUGCCACCGAGAAUACUGGAGACAGUCUUUGUGUGGUUUGCCCAUUGCACUCACUGAUGGCGGAGUGGUCUUUGCUGUCACCUGCCUUCUUGGCCAGGCUCAUGGCGUAUUCACAGACUUCAGCAGCCUCUCUCUGGGCGAGUUGUCUGAGGCAGGCCACAGCGGCACGACGGAGGAGCAGGUGAGAGCUGCACAGGCACGAGAUGGCAGCGGCCUGAACCAGAGAGUCCGAGUGAUCCUGCAUUAUGGCGCAGCCCACAAGACAUGACGAGCGAAUGGUGGAGAUAGUAACACCAUUUCCUAAAGGACACAUCGAAUAGAAAUUAGAUUUGAGCAAUAACAGGAGUCUGUUCAUUAUACUGCCACCUGCUGGAAAUGCAUCAUUGUCAGAAGCGAUCAAAUAUUUAUGUAAAAUGUAUACUGUAGUUAUUGUUAGGUCGGAGUCUAUAAUGAGGGCCAAAGAGUGCAGCACCCAA
This 1126-nucleotide long non-coding RNA is filed under the name Neogobius melanostomus (round goby). RNAcentral's name for it is "lncRNA (ENSNMLG00000008951.1)". The record is from RNAcentral. Lineage: Eukaryota; Metazoa; Chordata; Actinopteri; Gobiiformes; Gobiidae.